RNAcentral lists this ribosomal RNA (492 nucleotides) under uncultured bacterium. RNAcentral's name for it is "partial 16S ribosomal RNA". It matches the Rfam family "Bacterial small subunit ribosomal RNA", at positions 29 to 507 of the family's 1533-position model. The record is from RNAcentral.
AGUGAACGCUGGCGGUAGGCCUAACACAUGCAAGUCGAACGGCAGCACAGUAAGAGCUUGCUCUUACGGGUGGCGAGUGGCGGACGGGUGAGGAAUACAUCGGAAUCUACUUUUUCGUGGGGGAUAACGUAGGGAAACUUACGCUAAUACCGCAUACGACCUACGGGUGAAAGCAGGGGAUCUUCGGACCUUGCGCGAUUGAAUGAGCCGAUGUCGGAUUAGCUAGUUGGCGGGGUAAAGGCCCACCAAGGCGACGAUCCGUAGCUGGUCUGAGAGGAUGAUCAGCCACACUGGAACUGAGACACGGUCCAGACUCCUACGGGAGGCAGCAGUGGGGAAUCUUCGACAAUGGGCGAAAGCCUGAUCCAGCCACACCGCGUGAGUGAAGAAGGUCUUCGGGUUGUAAAGCCCUUUUGUUAGGAAAGAAAAGCAGUAGGUUUAUCCCUCGCUGUUCUGACGGUACCCAAAGAAUAAGCACCGGCUAACUUCGUG